This 253-nucleotide ribosomal RNA is filed under the name uncultured bacterium. RNAcentral's name for it is "partial 16S ribosomal RNA". It matches the Rfam family "Bacterial small subunit ribosomal RNA", at positions 524 to 776 of the family's 1533-position model. The record is from RNAcentral.
UACGGAGGGUGCAAGCGUUGCUCGGAAUUAUUGGGCGUAAAGGGUAGGUAGGUGGUCUCAUUUGUCUGGGGUGAAAGCCUUGAGCUUAACUCAAGAAGUGCCCCAGAAACGGUGAGACUAGAGUCCUGGAGAGGGUCGUGGAAUUCCCGGUGUAGCGGUGAAAUGCGUAGAGAUCGGGAGGAACACCAGUGGCGAAGGCGGCUCACUGGUCCGGUACUGACGCUGAUGUACGAAAGCGUGGGGAGCAAACAGG